Molecule: ribosomal RNA, 441 nt
Filed under: uncultured bacterium
Lineage: Bacteria
Description: partial 16S ribosomal RNA
Rfam family: Bacterial small subunit ribosomal RNA
Source: RNAcentral
CCUACGGGUGGCAGCAGUGGGGAAUAUUGCACAAUGGGCGAAAGCCUGAUGCAGCAACGCCGCGUGAAGGAAGACGGCUUUCGGAUUGUAAACUUCUGUUCUCAGUGAAGAAUAAUGACGGUAACUAAGGAGUAAGCCACGGCUAACUACGUGCCAGCAGCCGCGGUAAAACGUAGGUGGCAAGCGUUGUCCGGAAUUACUGGGUGUAAAGGGAGCGUAGGCGGGAAGCCAAGUCAGCUGUGAAAACUACGGGCUUAACCUGGAGACUGCAGUUGAAACUGGCUUUCUUGAGUGAAGUAGAGGUUGGCGGAAUUCGGGGUGUAGCGGUGAAAUGCGUAGAUAUUCGGAGGAACACCGGUGGCGAAGGCGACCAGCUGGGCUUUAACUGACGCUGAGGCUCGAAAGUGUGGGGAGCAAACAGGAUUAGAUACCCGGGUAGUC